AUUGAACGCUAGCGGCAGGCCUCACACAUGCAAGUCGAGCGGAGCGGCGGACGGGUGAGUAAUGCCUAGGAAUCUGCCUGGUAGUGGGGGAUAACGUCCGGAAACGGGCGCUAAUACCGCAUACUAUCAGAUGAGCCAAGGUCGGAUUAGCUAGUUGGGGGGGUAAAGGAAUACCAAGGCGACGAUCCGUAACUGGUUUGAGAGGAUGAUCAGCCACACUGGGACUGAGACACGGUCCAGACUCCGACGGGAGGCAGCAGUGGGGAAUAUUGGACAAUGGGCGAAAUCAUUAUCCAGCCAUGCCGCGUGUGUGAAGAAGGUCUUCGGAUUGUAAAGCACUUUAAGUUGGGAGGCGUUACCAACAGAAUAAGCACCGGCUAACUUCGUGCCAGCAGCCGCGGUAAUUC
This 407-nucleotide ribosomal RNA is filed under the name uncultured bacterium. RNAcentral's name for it is "partial 16S ribosomal RNA". It matches the Rfam family "Bacterial small subunit ribosomal RNA", at positions 30 to 526 of the family's 1533-position model. The record is from RNAcentral.